UACGAGGGGGGCAAGCGUUGUUCGGAUUUCUUGGGCGUAAAGGGUGCGUAGGCGGUUUGAUAAGUCUGGUGUGAAAUCUAUGGGCUCAACCCAUAGUCUGCACUAGAAACUGUCGGGCUUGAGUAUGGGAGAGGUGAGUGGAAUUUCCGGUGUAGCGGUGAAAUGCGUAGAUAUCGGGAGGAACACCAGUGGCGAAGGCGACUUCCUGGCCUGUUCUUGACGCUGAGGCGCGAAAGCUAGGGGAGCAAACGGG
RNAcentral lists this ribosomal RNA (253 nucleotides) under uncultured bacterium. RNAcentral describes it as "partial 16S ribosomal RNA". It matches the Rfam family "Bacterial small subunit ribosomal RNA", at positions 524 to 776 of the family's 1533-position model. The record is from RNAcentral.